GUUCCUGUAGUUGAAGUUACAACAAUGAUUUUUCGUGUCAUAGGUCAUGGUUAGUCCAUGCAGGAAUA
Molecule: transfer RNA, 68 nt
Filed under: Euchoreutes naso (Long-eared jerboa)
Lineage: Eukaryota; Metazoa; Chordata; Mammalia; Rodentia; Dipodidae
Description: tRNA-Glu
Rfam family: tRNA
About the family: Transfer RNA (tRNA) molecules are approximately 80 nucleotides in length. Their secondary structure includes four short double-helical elements and three loops (D, anti-codon, and T loops).
Source: RNAcentral